Molecule: ribosomal RNA, 253 nt
Filed under: uncultured bacterium
Lineage: Bacteria
Description: partial 16S ribosomal RNA
Rfam family: Bacterial small subunit ribosomal RNA
Source: RNAcentral
GACGGAGGAUGCAAGUGUUAUCCGGAAUCACUGGGCGUAAAGCGUCUGUAGGUGGUUUAAAAAGUCCACUGUUAAAAAUUGAAGCUUAACUUCAAAGAUGCCGUGGAAACUUUUAAACUUGAGUAUGAUAGGGGUAGAGGGAAUUUCCAGUGGAGCGGUGAAAUGCGUAGAUAUUGGGAAGACCACCAAUGGCGAAGGCACUCUACUGGGCCAUUACUGACACUGAGAGACGAAAGCUAGGGGAGCGAAUGGG